Molecule: small nuclear RNA, 101 nt
Organism: Saimiri boliviensis boliviensis (Bolivian squirrel monkey)
Lineage: Eukaryota; Metazoa; Chordata; Mammalia; Primates; Cebidae
Source: Ensembl
UCGCUUUGGCAGCUCACUUCGUAAAAUUGGAACGACACAGAGAUUAGCAUGGCCUCUGUGCAAGGAUGACAUAGGAAGCAUUUCAUUUAAAAAUAAAUUUU